ACAAAGCACAUAAAACAAGCAAAUAAACAAAUCAAACAGAGUUCGAAACCAAAAUAAUGUUCGAUCCGAAUUAUACAAUCCCAAAAAAUAGAAAAAUACGAAAAUGUAAAUCCUAUUCUAAACUAAUCCUAGACUAAGUUCUAAUGCCUCACCCGAUGCCUCGGGUCUUCAUCUCGAACGUCUUCCGCCGACAUAAUACGUCGAGGCAUUCCCUGUGAAUAAAUAUAUACACGUGGCCUCGAGGCAUUCCCCGAUGAAUAAAUACAUCUUUUCAAUGCGAGAAACCCAAAUCAUUCAACAAUAUUUCAAACAUUCAAUAGAACCACAAAUUCUAAACUUUGCCUAUCCAACCUACGUUUGCCUAUCUAUUUAACGGCCUAAUCAUGCUACUAUCGUGUUCAACAAUGUUCAUACUUAAACCAAAUUAAACCAAAAUCAACAAAUCUUAAUCCAUCCAAAUUCACCCUUUUUAUCAAUUUCUCAAUUCCACCCUGAACUCCCUUUUAUCACCAAAUUUACAUAAUUCACGAUUAACAAUUUCAACCGUCUACCAUCAAUAUAAUAUAACACCCAUCAUUCACAUCCCAUGCAGAAUAAAAGAAAAAUUGAGACGAUAUCAAUCAAUCACACAAAAACCAAGAAUUAACUAAGAGUAAGAUGAGAGAUAUGGACUUUAAAUUAAGUGUUUCGAACUGUGAUUAUUAUUUGAUCGCACUUUUGAUUUCAAAUCGAGUAGAUGACCAGAGCUCACGAUCUGAACCUCAUCGGAACCUCAACAAACGCUGAAAUCUCGACUAUGAGCCAAUUGUAGCACAAAAAAAAAAUUCCUCGAAAUUCGAUUCGAAAAGAGACCCGCGAUAACUCGAAAGGAAAACCCAAACAAUGACACCUAACUCUGACCAAGAUUUGAGUCACGAAUAAAAUUACGCAUCCAUUUACGUCACCGCUAGAAUUUUCUGAUGAGAUGCGAUGGGAUGGAAAAGACGGAUCAAUUUUUGGUCGGGUUUUCAAAUGUUUUCUAGUAAGGUUUCCUGGUGGCUUUUGGUGGUUAGGGGUUUCUAGUCUCCAAUGUUUCCCGAUGGUUUGACCUGAACGAUCAGUUCCGAUGAAGGUUGCUAUCCGGUUAGUAUGUGAACUAUUUUUUAUUAGAACAAAAACUACUAUUUCUCUCUGUUUUUCUUUCUUUCUCCUCUCUCUCGCCACUCUCCUCUCUUAAUCUCUCCCUUCGAUUUCCUCACCGUCCCACUGUGUGUGUACGAUUUAUUGUGUAGGGGCGUGUGUGUUCUGUGAGGGAUUCUGAGAGUGCGUGAAGAAGAAGAAAGGAAAAGGUGGAAUCCCCCCUGCUUAUGGUCUCCCCCUUAUUCUUGUUUUAAAUGAAAAUUCAGAAUGAAUUCUUUUGUUGUGUGGCCCACGAGUAAGGUCUUUGUUGUGAAAAUAUGGGAAAUGAGGGGAUCACGUGAGGUGUCCCUAUCCCUUUUGUUUGUUAUGGUUAAUUGGGAGUAUAUGAAUGUGGUCCCCUCUUUUCUUUUUC
RNAcentral lists this long non-coding RNA (1531 nucleotides) under Capsicum annuum. RNAcentral's name for it is "long non-coding RNA (CANN_LNC014865)". Lineage: Eukaryota; Viridiplantae; Streptophyta; Magnoliopsida; Solanales; Solanaceae. The record is from RNAcentral.